This 492-nucleotide ribosomal RNA is filed under the name uncultured bacterium. RNAcentral describes it as "partial 16S ribosomal RNA". It matches the Rfam family "Bacterial small subunit ribosomal RNA", at positions 29 to 507 of the family's 1533-position model. The record is from RNAcentral.
AGUGAACGCUGGCGGUAGGCCUAACACAUGCAAGUCGGACGGCAGCACAGUAAGAGCUUGCUCUUACGGGUGGCGAGUGGCGGACGGGUGAGGAAUACAUCGGAAUCUACUUUUUCGUGGGGGAUAACGUAGGGAAACUUACGCUAAUACCGCAUACGACCUACGGGUGAAAGCAGGGGAUCUUCGGACCUUGCGCGAUUGAAUGAGCCGAUGUCGGAUUAGCUAGUUGGCGGGGUAAAGGCCCACCAAGGCGACGAUCCGUAGCUGGUCUGAGAGGAUGAUCGGCCACACUGGAACUGAGACACGGUCCAGACUCCUACGGGAGGCAGCAGUAGGGAAUAUUGGACAAUGGGCGCAAGCCUGAUCCAGCCAUACCGCGUGGGUGAAGAAGGCCUUCGGGUUGUAAAGCCCUUUUGUUGGGAAAGAAAAGCAGCAGGUUAAUACCCCGCUGUUCUGACGGUACCCAAAGAAUAAGCACCGGCUAACUUCGUG